CAUUUUCUUCGAAGUUAACUACAGAAGCAUUGCUUUUACUCUCAGGUUUUAUUUUUCUUUCAUGCUUCCUGUCCAACAGAAAAUCUGUGUCACUGGUUGUAUUCAUCUCUUCUAAAGUCAACGGUGUCUUUUCUGUCACAGGUUUCAGUUCCCUCUUUGCUGCUGAAAGUUCCAAUUCUGAGCUGCCAAAACCACCACUUUCUAAACAUUCGGAGGUCUCCUCUUUGACGGUUUCAGCUUUGAUUGUCUUGCUGUUGCUGUUUACAGCACAUUCUUUCAAUCGAUCAUCUUUGUUUCUUUCCAA
RNAcentral lists this long non-coding RNA (304 nucleotides) under Hordeum vulgare. Its description in RNAcentral is "long non-coding RNA (HVUL_LNC002913)". Lineage: Eukaryota; Viridiplantae; Streptophyta; Magnoliopsida; Poales; Poaceae. The record is from RNAcentral.